GCCGGCGUGGUGAAACGGUAGACACAGGGGACUUAAAAUCCCUAGGCCCAACGGCCGUGCCGGUUCGAUUCCGGCCGCCGGCACCA
RNAcentral lists this transfer RNA (86 nucleotides) under Hyphomonas sp. Its description in RNAcentral is "tRNA-Leu". It matches the Rfam family "tRNA". Rfam says of the family: Transfer RNA (tRNA) molecules are approximately 80 nucleotides in length. Their secondary structure includes four short double-helical elements and three loops (D, anti-codon, and T loops). RNAcentral also lists the same sequence under 2 other names. The record is from RNAcentral. Lineage: Bacteria; Pseudomonadati; Pseudomonadota; Alphaproteobacteria; Hyphomonadales; Hyphomonadaceae.